AUGCUAGCUCACGGCAUUAUAGUGCCCAGCACCAGCCCGUUCGUGUCACCGGUUUUACUAGUACAAAAGAAGGAUCUUACUUGGCGCUUUUGCGUGGACUACCGGCACCUCAAUGCUGUGACGAUGAAGAAUCGAUUUCCGCUACCCGUCAUCGACGAACUGCUGGAUGAAUUGGCGGGUGCCAAUCUCUUCACUAGCCUGGACCUGUGA
This 210-nucleotide ribosomal RNA is filed under the name Triticum aestivum (bread wheat). Its description in RNAcentral is "partial small subunit ribosomal RNA". The record is from RNAcentral. Lineage: Eukaryota; Viridiplantae; Streptophyta; Magnoliopsida; Poales; Poaceae.